Molecule: ribosomal RNA, 440 nt
Filed under: uncultured bacterium
Lineage: Bacteria
Description: partial 16S ribosomal RNA
Rfam family: Bacterial small subunit ribosomal RNA
Source: RNAcentral
CCUACGGGAGGCUGCAGUGGGGAAUAUUGCACAAUGGGGGAAACCCUGAUGCAGCGACGCCGCGUGAGUGAAGAAGUAAUUCGUUAUGUAAAGCUCUAUCAGCAGGGAAGAAAAUGACGGUACCUGAGUAAGAAGCCCCGGCUAACUACGUGCCAGCAGCCGCGGUAAUACGUAGGGGGCAAGCGUUAUCCGGAUUUACUGGGUGGAAAGGGAGCGUAGACGGCAGUGCAAGUCUGGAGUGAAAGGCGGGGGCUCAACCCCCGGACUGCUCUGGAAACUGUACGGCUGGAGUGCAGGAGAGGUAAGUGGAAUGCCUAGUGUAGCGGUGAAAUGCGUAGAUAUUAGGAGGAACACCAGUGGCGAAGGCGGCUUACUGGACUGUAACUGACGUUGAGGCUCGAAAGCGUGGGGAGCAAACAGGAUUAGAUACCCGUGUAGUC